GACAUUUUCUCGAUCAUCGUCGAUCAGUUUUCGUUUUUCUCGGACUUUCACGUACUGAUCCGACAUAUUCUCGACCAGUUUUCGUUUCUCUCGGACUUUCACGUACUGAUCGGACAUUUUCUCGAUCAUCGUCGAUCAGUUUUCGUUUUUCUCGAUCUUUCACGUACUGAUCGGACAUUUUCUCGAUCAGUUUUCGUGUUUCUCGAUCAUUCUCGUACUGAUCCGACAUUUUCUCGAUCAUCGUCGAUCAGUUUUCGUUUUUCUCGAUCUUUCACGUACUGAUCGGACAUUUUCUCGAUCAUCGUCGACCAGUUUUCGUUUUUCGUUUUUCUCGUCCGGAUAUGUUUUUCUCUCGAUCAUCGUCGAUAAGUUUUUGUUUUCUACCGGUUUCAAUUUUUUCGGAUUUUCUCAUUCGGCUGGGAUUUUUCCCGAUCAUUGGAACUCCCGGUUUCGAUUUUCUCGAUGAUCACUGUCAGAUUCGAUAUUUCUCGACUGUUAGCUCCGUACUUUCGAUAUUUCUCGAUCUUGUAUUUCCGGUUUCGAUAAUUCUCGAUCUUUAGCUUCCGGAUAAGUUAUUCUCACCAUCCCGAGCCGGUGCUACCGAGUAAGUUUUGCAAGAAUAUAAGGACGUGUUUCCAGAAGAUAAUCCCAUAGGUUUACCACCCAUCCGAGGGAUCGAGCAUCAAAUUGAUUUCGUCCCGGGAGCCGCCCUACCAAACCGACCAGCUUAUCGC
Molecule: long non-coding RNA, 734 nt
Filed under: Capsella rubella
Lineage: Eukaryota; Viridiplantae; Streptophyta; Magnoliopsida; Brassicales; Brassicaceae
Description: long non-coding RNA (CRUB_LNC000540)
Source: RNAcentral